GAGUUCCAGACAGCUGCAGGUCACAGGCACCCUGUGACAAUGACGUAUCCAGAGCCGCUGCCUGAAAAAACAGGGUGCUCAGGCUAAAGCCUUGAGGAAAAGAAGCCGCAUGGGCCUGCCCUAAGGGGGACUUCUGGGGCUAAUAUGAAGGAAAGUUCCAGGAUCCCUGUAAACCCUGUCUGAGCAGCGUGACUGUGAGGAUCAAAAGGACAACGUCAGAGAAGAUUUUCUUUGAAAACUGCCAGUGUCCCUGGGAGUGAAGAUUUUGAAGAGCAUAUGAGGAAGUUGAAAAACAGAGAACCUUCUGUCUGGUGAACAAGACAGGAAAUGAGAUGGAAGGAAGGUGAGAAGAAGAAGGAAAAGAGGGAGAGGAAAAGAAGAAAAGCAAGGAAGAAAGGCAAUCUCUGUUUUCCAAGGGUUUUUCUAGAGAAAAAGAAGCCUGGGAAGGCCCUGGCCUGUUCCACAGAAACAGAGUACGUCUGGAGGGAAAUCCCCAAGGAAGCUUCUGGGAAAUCCUGAGGAAGAGGUCCACCUCCAUGAGCGACGUUGGAUUUGUUCAGCAAUCCGGAGGCCACCUCAGAGGCACUGUUGACUGAGAUUAAUUCAGGAGGUGGCCUCCCAUAUCAAGAACAAUGUUAAGGGCUAAGAGUCUAUGUUUGUUUUCUUUGACAUGGAGAAACUCUGGCUUACAGACAGAGUCAGGCAAUGAAGGCAUUUCACGGCAAAAUCCAACCUUUGCAAGGAACAAAUUUGGAA
Molecule: long non-coding RNA, 756 nt
Organism: Meriones unguiculatus (Mongolian gerbil)
Lineage: Eukaryota; Metazoa; Chordata; Mammalia; Rodentia; Muridae
Exons: 3
Source: RefSeq, a predicted model, not a curated record